This 497-nucleotide ribosomal RNA is filed under the name uncultured bacterium. RNAcentral describes it as "partial 16S ribosomal RNA". It matches the Rfam family "Bacterial small subunit ribosomal RNA", at positions 28 to 507 of the family's 1533-position model. The record is from RNAcentral.
GAUGAACGCUGGCGGCGUGCCUAAUACAUGCAAGUCGAGCGAACGGACGAGAAGCUUGCUUUUCUGAUGUUAGCGGCGGACGGGUGAGUAACACGUGGAUAACCUACCUAUAAGACUGGGAUAACUUCGGGAAACCGGAGCUAAUACCGGAUAAUAUUUUGAACCGCAUGGUUCAAAAGUGAAAGACGGUCUUGCUGUCACUUAUAGAUGGAUCCGCGCUGCAUUAGCUAGUUGGUAAGGUAACGGCUUACCAAGGCAACGAUGCAUAGCCGACCUGAGAGGGUGAUAGGCCACACUGGAACUGAGACACGGUCCAGACUCCUACGGGAGGCAGCAGUAGGGAAUCUUCCGCAAUGGGCGAAAGCCUGACGGAGCAACGCCGCGUGAGUGAUGAAGGUCUUCGGAUCGUAAAACUCUGUUAUUAGGGAAGAACAUAUGUGUAAGUAACUGUGCACAUCUUGACGGUACCGAAUCAGAAAGCCACGGCUAACUACGUG